Molecule: long non-coding RNA, 350 nt
Filed under: Erythranthe guttata (spotted monkey flower)
Lineage: Eukaryota; Viridiplantae; Streptophyta; Magnoliopsida; Lamiales; Phrymaceae
Description: long non-coding RNA (EGUT_LNC003248)
Source: RNAcentral
CAAGGUGAGGCGCGGACUAGGUCGCUUUCUUAAGACGAAUUUCACGACCCCUUCUCUAAUGAGGUGCAAAAAGGUUCCGAUCGUGUCGCCUAUGGGAUACAACAGCCCAGCCUAUCUCUCCGCAGUAACUUCACCGAAAUUGCACGUUCAAGUGAAGUAGAAGCUUACACCCGACACACAACAAGAGCUCAAUAUAUGUAUAUAAUAUAUGAUCUUUUGAAAGACAUUUUUCUUUCACUCUUUAUAUUCUCUCCUCCAUUUUUUCAAGCCACAAAGCCACCCUUUUAUAGUGUAAAAUAAGGUCAUCAUAAAACCUAUAUUUAAUAUAGAAUUAGGGAAAUUUAUGGAGG